UGCCACAGCCAUAUAACCCUGCAGCCCAGGACCAGUUACUCACUGAGCUAAGCAGGGCUGAGCCUGGUCUAUACCUAGAUAGGAGACAACAUGGGAAAAACAGGUUGCUGUUGUGU
Danio rerio (zebrafish) is the source of this 116-nucleotide ribosomal RNA. Lineage: Eukaryota; Metazoa; Chordata; Actinopteri; Cypriniformes; Danionidae. The record is from Ensembl.